This 170-nucleotide ribosomal RNA is filed under the name Porodisculus pendulus. RNAcentral describes it as "5.8S ribosomal RNA". It matches the Rfam family "5.8S ribosomal RNA". From Rfam's summary of the family: 5.8S ribosomal RNA (5.8S rRNA) is a component of the large subunit of the eukaryotic ribosome. It is transcribed by RNA polymerase I as part of the 45S precursor that also contains 18S and 28S rRNA. Functionally, it is thought that 5.8S rRNA may be involved in ribosome translocation. Lineage: Eukaryota; Fungi; Basidiomycota; Agaricomycetes; Agaricales; Schizophyllaceae. The record is from RNAcentral.
ACAACUUUUGACAACGGAUCUCUUGGCUCUCGCAUCGAUGAAGAACGCAGCGAAAUGCGAUAAGUAAUGUGAAUUGCAGAAUUCAGUGAAUCAUCGAAUCUUUGAACGCACCUUGCGCCCCUUGGUAUUCCGAGGGGCAUGCCUGUUUGAGUGUCAUUAAAUUCUCAACC